GCUGUGCGGUAUCCAGGCACUUCAACAAUACCUCAGAAAGUACCAGCAUGCGGUCCAGAUUUAACAGGUGCGGAAAAAGCUACCACUCCCCUGGCACGUGUUAUGCCACUUACCUUCACUAGAGCACAGGGACCCAGGCCCUUCUUCACAUUUUCUCACCUUUAAAGGUGUGUAAAGAAUGGACCUGGGUCAGCCCCUUGAAUCCACAAACCAGUCGGGUCUACACCUGAGUCUAAUAGGAAGGCUCACCCUAACUGGACAUCCACUCUGUACAAAAGAGGGACUGGAGUCCUGGACUGAAUACCAAGGAGAAAGCUACCUGAGCUCCAGCAGUCAUCACUCUCUGCUCCCCCCCGUGGGGUGCAAUGUGACCAGCUGCCUCUCAUUCCUGCCACCAGGCCUUCCCCAUGAUGAUGGA
Long non-coding RNA from Jaculus jaculus (lesser Egyptian jerboa), 418 nucleotides. RefSeq lists it as uncharacterized. NCBI's taxonomy places the organism in Eukaryota, Metazoa, Chordata, Mammalia, Rodentia, Dipodidae. The record is from RefSeq and is a predicted model, not a curated record. The transcript is spliced from 3 exons.